GACUUGGUAGCUCAGCCGGUAGAGCAACUGACUCUUAAUCAGUGGGUCGAGAGUUCGAUCCUCUCCCAGGUCACCU
Molecule: transfer RNA, 76 nt
Filed under: Mucilaginibacter frigoritolerans
Lineage: Bacteria; Pseudomonadati; Bacteroidota; Sphingobacteriia; Sphingobacteriales; Sphingobacteriaceae
Also listed under: 1 other name
Description: tRNA-Lys
Rfam family: tRNA
About the family: Transfer RNA (tRNA) molecules are approximately 80 nucleotides in length. Their secondary structure includes four short double-helical elements and three loops (D, anti-codon, and T loops).
Source: RNAcentral